GGCGCGCUCUGCGCGCACCGGCGGACGGCUCAGUAACACGUCGGUAACCUACCCUCGGGAGGGGGAUAACCCCGGGAAACUGGGGCUAAUCCCCCAUAGGCCUGGGGUACUGGAAGGUCCCCAGGCCGAAAGGGGCUUUUGCCCGCCCGAGGAUGGGCCGGCGGCCGAUUAGGUAGUUGGUGGGGUAACGGCCCACCAAGCCGAAGAUCGGUACGGGCCAUGAGAGUGGGAGCCCGGAGAUGGACACUGAGACACGGGUCCAGGCCCUACGGGGCGCAGCAGGCGCGAAACCUCCGCAAUGCGGGCAACCGCGACGGGGGGACCCCCAGUGCCGUGGCACAGCCACGGCUUUUCCGGAGUGUAAAAAGCUCCGGGAAUAAGGGCUGGGCAAGGCCGGUGGCAGCCGCCGCGGUAAUACCGGCGGCCCAAGUGGUGGCCGCUAUUAUUGGGCCUAAAGCGUC
RNAcentral lists this ribosomal RNA (461 nucleotides) under Thermococcus sp. 21S6. RNAcentral describes it as "bacterial SSU rRNA". It matches the Rfam family "Archaeal small subunit ribosomal RNA", at positions 62 to 519 of the family's 1478-position model. Lineage: Archaea; Methanobacteriati; Methanobacteriota; Thermococci; Thermococcales; Thermococcaceae. The record is from RNAcentral.